GGCUGAAAUUACGCCUUCAUGAAGCUGGAAUUGCUAGUAAUGGCUGGUCAGCAUACUGCCGUGAAUACGUUCCCGGGCCUUGUACACACCGCCCGUCACACCAUGAGAGUUGGGAAUACCCGAAGCCUGUGAGCUAACAGUAAUGAGGCAGCAGUCGAAGGUAGAGCCAAUGAUUGGGGUGAAGUCGUAACAAGGUAGC
Molecule: ribosomal RNA, 199 nt
Filed under: uncultured bacterium
Lineage: Bacteria
Description: partial 16S ribosomal RNA
Rfam family: Bacterial small subunit ribosomal RNA
Source: RNAcentral